Molecule: ribosomal RNA, 460 nt
Filed under: uncultured bacterium
Lineage: Bacteria
Description: partial 16S ribosomal RNA
Rfam family: Bacterial small subunit ribosomal RNA
Source: RNAcentral
CCUACGGGAGGCUGCAGUGAGGAAUAUUGGUCAAUGGGCGGGAGCCUGAACCAGCCAAGUCGCGUGAGGGAAGACGGUCCUAUGGAUUGUAAACCUCUUUAGGCGGGGAGCAAUGCCGGGCACGCGUGCCCGGAGGGAGAGUACCCGCAGAAUAAGCAUCGGCUAACUCCGUGCCAGCAGCCGCGGUAAGACGGAGGAUGCGAGCGGUAUCCGGAUUUAUGGGGUUUAAAGGGUGCGUAGGCGGAUUUUUAAGUCAGCGGUAAAAUGUCCGGGCUCAACCCGGGCCGGCCGUUGAAACUGGGGAUCUUGAGUGGGCGAGAAGUAUGCGGAAUGCGUGGUGUAGCGGUGAAAUGCAUAGAUAUCACGCAGAACUCCGAUUGCGAAGGCAGCAUACCGGCGCCCGACUGACGCUGAGGCACGAAAGCGUGGGGAUCGAACAGGAUUAGAUACCCCAGUAGUC